RNAcentral lists this long non-coding RNA (210 nucleotides) under Mytilus galloprovincialis (Mediterranean mussel). Lineage: Eukaryota; Metazoa; Mollusca; Bivalvia; Mytilida; Mytilidae. The record is from RNAcentral.
CUUGGGUUUGAUCAUGAAGGAGAAACAUACAAAAGACCUACUCUAGGAUAGAAUGCUACCAAAAGACUACUAUUGCAGUCAUCUCUAUGUGAGUUCAGUGUAGGGCCUUCAGCAAUGAGCAGACUCACCAUACUUCUGCCCUAUAAAUUACUGUCCUACAUUGUGGUAGCCAUUUUGAAUAAAAUUUAAGGUUCUAAUGAGUCUUUAUUU